GGUUAGUGCACUUUCCGAACUCAUAGGCCCUAUCUUGUGGUAUGAACUGAGUACGCGAUGAUUUAUGGUGCAUAUCGGGGGCUUACCAUAAGAUAAUGCCGUGAAUUCAUAAAGCAUUCAAACC
RNAcentral lists this microRNA precursor (124 nucleotides) under Oryza meridionalis. RNAcentral describes it as "pre miRNA MIR1428". The stretch from base 8 to 117 matches the Rfam family "MIR1428 microRNA precursor family". Lineage: Eukaryota; Viridiplantae; Streptophyta; Magnoliopsida; Poales; Poaceae. The record is from RNAcentral.